AUUGAACGCUGGCGGCAUGCCUUACACAUGCAAGUCGAACGGCAGCACGGGAGCUUGCUCCUGGUGGCGAGUGGCGAACGGGUGAGUAAUACAUCGGAACGUACCCUGAAGUGGGGGAUAACGUAGCGAAAGUUACGCUAAUACCGCAUAUUCUGUGAGCAGGAAAGAGGGGGAUCGCAAGACCUCUUGCUUUAGGAGCGGCUGAUGUCGGAUUAGCUAGUUGGUGAGGUAAAGGCUCACCAAGGCGACGAUCCGUAGCGGGUCUGAGAGGAUGAUCCGCCACACUGGGACUGAGACACGGCCCAGACUCCUACGGGAGGCAGCAGUGGGGAAUUUUGGACAAUGGGCGCAAGCCUGAUCCAGCCAUGCCGCGUGAGUGAAGAAGGCCUCGGUUGGUUAAAGGUACGUA
RNAcentral lists this ribosomal RNA (409 nucleotides) under uncultured bacterium. RNAcentral's name for it is "bacterial SSU rRNA". It matches the Rfam family "Bacterial small subunit ribosomal RNA", at positions 30 to 436 of the family's 1533-position model. The record is from RNAcentral.